Molecule: unclassified non-coding RNA, 723 nt
Filed under: Hevea brasiliensis (rubber tree)
Lineage: Eukaryota; Viridiplantae; Streptophyta; Magnoliopsida; Malpighiales; Euphorbiaceae
Source: RNAcentral
AGUUGGUCCUGUGGAAUGGUUAAAGCCCUAUACUGAUGAGACAAUCGUUGAACUUGGAAGAAAAGGGGUGAAGAAUCUUCUUGCUGUCCCAAUUAGCUUUGUUAGUGAGCACAUUGAAACUCUUGAGGAAAUUGAUGUUGAGUAUAAAGAGUUGGCUCUUAAGUCUGGUAUAGAAAAAUGGGGACGUGUCCCUGCACUAGGAUGUGAACAAACCUUCAUUUCAGAUUUGGCAGCUGCUGUAAUUGAGUCUCUUCCAUAUGUUGGAGCUAUGGCAGUCUCAAAUCUUGAAGCUCGACAGUCUUUAGUUCCACUCGGCAGUGUGGAGGAACUGUUGGCGACAUACGAUUCAAAGCGCAGGGAGUUACCACCACCGGUGACUGUGUGGGAAUGGGGUUGGACAAGAAGUGCGGAGACUUGGAAUGGAAGAGCUGCUAUGUUGGCCGUUCUUGUUCUAUUGGCACUUGAAGUCACCACCGGCAAGGGGUUGCUACACCAGUGGGGCAUAUUGCCCUUGUUUCAUUGACUAAGAAUGUACAUAAAUUGCACCAAAUGUAAAUUUUGUCCCUGGAAGGCCAUUCAUAUGCAAAUUUAGUGGAUAUUGGGCAUUACUUCCUCCCCAACUAACAUGUUACAUUUGGGGUUAUAGACAUAUGGUAUAGUUGCAGCUGAAUAAUAAAUCUGAGGAAGGAGGGGAAAAAAAUAUAUUAUAUAUGUAUUAUUUUG